CUUUCCUCCAGCCUACCAUGACAACGCUCUCCUCCAGCCUGCCAUGACAACUCUCUCCUCCAGCCUGCCAUGGCAACUCUCUCCUCCAGCCUACCAUGACAACUCUCUCCUCCAGCCUGCCAUGACAACUCUCUCCUCCAGCCUGCCAUGACAGCUCUCUCCUCCAGCCAACCAUGACAACUCUCUCCUCCAGCCAGCCAUGACAACUCUCUCCUCCAGCCUGCCAUGACAACUCUACCACUUUCCUCAUCUGCUUUCCGGCCCUCUAGUCAUACAUAGCUACUAAACUCUUGUUCUGAGAUUAUUCACAUAGCCAUUUAAACCUGUCGAACAAACAGACAACAAUAACAAGGUAUUUACAACUGUUUUGUUACAAAUGACACCUUGCCUUCUAAUUUAAUAGUACAUUGAGAAUGAUUAUUUCCUAGAUUUCUGUUGCUAUCUACAGUCUAGAUUCAAUCCGUAGUGCUGAAGAUCCACACUGUAGCAUGAUUGAAAGGCGAAGGCAAUGUUCCUGCGUUUGGAGAGACUUGAUUGAAGUAAGCGCUUCAUUUGUCGGCUCAAUAGGUCAUCUCUAACAGUUUAACAACCUGGCUGUGAGAAUGACAAACACAGGAAAUAACCUUUAUCUGUUGGUUUAUUAACACUGAAACAGAACAUCAUGUCUGUUAGAUCAGACAUGACAAUACAGACAUCAACUAUUAUCAGUUUGGUAAAAUAUCAGUUCAGUAUGAAGCUCCCUGUAAUCAGGAUGACGUCCUGGUUUCAGGUUCUUUAGAGUCAGACAUGUUGUGUUUCAUUUGGUCUUUGGUCAAACUUUGUCACCAUCAGACAUGAUAAAACAUUACCUAACCAAACUCUACCUACCUUAUUGUCCUGUCUUUACUGAACUCCAACAGUUACAACAGGGGCUGAGAGGAGGGUAUAUUACACAAAGAAAUAAAUAAAAUAUUCAUAUAAAAAUAGUCUCUUACAAAAUAUAUUCUAUUAAACAAUGUCAACAACGGGAAAAACGUAUUUUGGAAUAAGAAUGGUUUAGUCUUGGCAGGACAGGUAACAAACAGUAAGGCAACAGUCAGUAAAGCUGACCCUCAGUAAACAGUCAGUAAAGCUGUCCCUCAGUAAACAGUCAGUAAGGCAACAGUCAGUAAAGCUGUCCCUCAGUAAACAGUCAGUAAUGCAACAGUCAGUAAAGCUGACCCUCAGUAAACAGUCAGUAUGAUCAGAGACACAGUCAGUAAGGCAACAGUCAGUAAAGCUGACCCUCAGUAAACAGUCAGUAAGAUCAGAGACACAGUCAGUAAGGCAACAGUCAGUAAAGCUGACCCUCAGUAAACAGUCAGUAAGGUAAAAGUCAGUAAGGCAACAGUCAGUAAAGCUGACCCUCAGUAAACAGUCAGUAAGAUAAAACUCAGUAAGAUCAGAGACACAGCCAGUAAGGUUAGUCAUCUAAUCCCCAGGAAGAGUAGCUGCUGCCUUGGCAGGAACUAAUGGGGAUCCAUAAUAAACCCCAGGGAGAGUAGCUGCUGUCAUGGCAGGAACUAAUGGGGAUCCAUAAUAAACCCCAGGAAGAGUAG
Oncorhynchus tshawytscha (Chinook salmon) is the source of this 1577-nucleotide long non-coding RNA. The record is from Ensembl. NCBI's taxonomy places the organism in Eukaryota, Metazoa, Chordata, Actinopteri, Salmoniformes, Salmonidae.